GAAAUGCGAUAAGUAAUGUGAAUUGCAGAAUUCCGUGAAUCAUCGAAUCUUUGAACGCACAUUGCGCCCUCUGGUAUUCCGGGGGCAUGCCUGUCCGAGCGUCAUUGCGAACCCCUCAAGCACGGCUUGUGUGAUGGGCCCUCCCGCGUCUUGGUCGUCAAGACGGGCCCGAAAUGCAGUGGCGGCUUCGCGGUUAUCCGAUCAGCCAGAGCGUAUGGGGACUUUCUCUCUGUCAAACGCCCGCGGCGCGGACCGACGCCUGUCGACCUUUAUUCAUCUUUUUCUCGGUUGACCUCGGAUCAGGUAGGGAUACCCGCUGAACUUAAGC
This 328-nucleotide unclassified non-coding RNA is filed under the name plant metagenome. Its description in RNAcentral is "partial contains 5.8S ribosomal RNA, internal transcribed spacer 2, and large subunit ribosomal RNA". The stretch from base 1 to 104 matches the Rfam family "5.8S ribosomal RNA", at positions 50 to 154 of the family's 154-position model. The record is from RNAcentral.